UAAAACGUCUUAAAGUUCCUGAUGAUAUAUCCUAUACUCUAAUAAAGGUUAUUUAAUGGUUCUUCGUGGCACAAACUUAUUCAUAUUCAAUUUUCACUAUAAAUGCUGUGUUGUCUGUAUGGUUGUUUGGAGAACAACUUGACGUCAGAUAAAAGGUUCUUCAGAAUAACGUAUUGGUUAAUGGAGUCUAAAUCGGUGAUUCCCAACCAUGUCAUUUAAGCAAAAUUGCUAGGACUAUGGAGUACUUAAGAAAAAAAAAAAGAAAGGAAAAAAAAAAGAUUGGGAAUCCCAACAUUAAAAAUAAAUAAAUAAUUACUAGCUAGGGAAGUUACUGUACAAGUAAGCAGCAGCAGAGCUCGACAGCGUUCUGUUUGGAUUCGUAAUCGGUUGAUACGUCGACAAACACAAAGAAACAGAUUGUUCGCUAUCAGCGGUGAUGGUGCGCGGAGGAAGAAUGCGAGCAUGCAGCGAAGUCAAACAAAAGUGCCUCAGAUGAAUAUUCCUGAAACAGAACAGGAUGGACUUGCUAAAACCAAAUCACGCACUCAUCCUGCACCGCGCCAAAUCAGCAUAUUAGAAUGAUUUCUGAAGACUGUGGCACUGAAGAUUGGAAUAAUGGCUACUGGAAAAAAAAA
This is a long non-coding RNA of Cyprinus carpio carpio, 635 nucleotides long. NCBI's taxonomy places the organism in Eukaryota, Metazoa, Chordata, Actinopteri, Cypriniformes, Cyprinidae. The record is from Ensembl.